GAUGAACGCUAGCGGCAGGCUUAACACAUGCAAGUCGAACGGUAACAUUGGUGCUUGCAUCAGAUGACGAGUGGCGAACGGGUGCGUAACGCGUAUACAACCUACCUCUUAUUAAGGAAUAGCUCAGAGAAAUUUGAAUUAAUACCUUAUAAUAUCUUAAGAUCGCAUGAUUUAAAGAUUAAAGAAAUUCGAUAAGAGAUGGGUAUGCGUGAUAUUAGCUAGUUGGUAAGGUAACGGCUUACCAAGGCAACGAUAUCUAGGGGGUCUGAGAGGAUGAUCCCCCACACUGGUACUGAGACACGGACCAG
Molecule: ribosomal RNA, 308 nt
Filed under: uncultured Sediminicola sp.
Lineage: Bacteria; Pseudomonadati; Bacteroidota; Flavobacteriia; Flavobacteriales; Flavobacteriaceae
Description: bacterial SSU rRNA
Rfam family: Bacterial small subunit ribosomal RNA
Source: RNAcentral